CCCACUGGGAAGCCUGCCCUGUGUCAGACAUUGUCAGACACACCCACGCGGCACCCCUCCCAGCUGACAAGCAGCCUGCGAGCUGUCUCUCCUCGCCUGAGGACAGCAGAGCCCUUUCACUUUCCCUCUGGAGCCACCCGCACCUGGGCUGCUGGGCUCAGCCUGCUCCCUGGAGUGUAGCCCACGCGUCCGUAUCUCUGUCCUGCCGACCAGCCGACCUGCCCAAAACCUGGGUGGGCAGGUCAGAGCUGCACCGAUCCCAAGGUUAAGGUUCACUCCUGGCCCCCCGCCCCCGCCAUCCAGCCGUCCAGUACUAAAGCGACCCACAGCCAUCGGCACCCCUUGGACCUUGUCAUGACCUCUACUACUGGACCUUGGAAACCUGAAACCAUCAGAUUUGUACCAAUGGCUCCCUGACCGGAUCCUGCCGUUCAAGGCCUCCUAGCCCUCCGUGCAGGGAACAGCGGUCCCGACGGGCACUGUAGAGUCAGAGCUCCAACCGCAGCCCCCACCCGUCUGAGCGGUGAGGGAACCACUCUGAGACUGCUCCUGUCUCAGGAAAACGGAGAUAAUAAUACCCAUUGCACCAGAUUACGGUAAGCAAAUGAAGUAAUGGUUAAAAAAAAAAAAAAAAGGCUUAGUGCAGAAUGUGGUGUCUCAGGAAACAGUGGUGACGGUAAUAAUGACCCUAAUGUCCCUAAAUGAUCUCAUGCACCCUCAACAUUGCAGCUCCUACCCAUGGUCUGAUGGCUCCCAAGUGUGUAUCUUUUGUGCUGACGUCUCCUCUGUGUUCCGGGCCGGUAGCAACGUUUAUAAAACAGCGCUCAUCACUUUCCUCCUCAAAAUUGUUCCUCGUCCCACCUUGCCAUUCACGUGAAUUGUACCAAAGUCCACCCAGUUCGUGGCCAGGUCGGGGAGCAAGGAAAGCGAAACAAAACAGGAUAAGGAAACCAAAACAAAACAAAACAACAAGACAAGACAAACCAAACGACAAAUAGGAAGCAAAUUUAGUUCACUCAUUGAAGAACUGGUCGAAAUAGGCACAAAAGACGGUUUAGGGGCAACUGGGGGAAUUUUCCUGCGGACGAGGUGCUAGAUUAUAUGUAGGAAUUAUUGUCAAUUGUCUCGUAUAUGCUGGUUGUAGUAGAGUGGUCAUACAGGAGGCUGUCCUCGUCCCUGGAAGAUGCAGGCUGGGGGCGCCUCGGGGGCUCAUUCGUUUACGCGACUGACUCUUGAUCUUGGCUCCAGUCAUGAUCUCACAGUUUGUGAUAUCGAGCCUUACACUGGGCUCUGGGCUGAUAGGGUGGAGCCUGCUUGGGAUUUGUCCCUCUCCCUCUCUCUCUGCCCCUCCCCCGAUCGUGCUUGGUCUUACUCUCAAAAUAAAUAAAUACUAAAAAAUAAUAAUAAAAAGAUACAGGCUGAAGUGUUUGGGGAUGAAAUAUUUCGAUGUCUGCAAAUCUACUUUCAAAUGGGUCAGAAAAAAUGUGCACACACACACACACACACACGUAUGUAUUCUCACACACAUACAGAAAUGCGAAAAGCAAAUGGGCCAAAUCGUCAUAAACUGUGGAAUCCGAGCGGUGAAUGCACGGGCAUUCAUUAUCGUAAGUUCAACUUUUGCUGUGCGCUUGAACUUUUCCAUAAUUAAGAGUUGGGGUAAAAAGCAGAAUAAAGCUGUCUGAAGUGAAAGCCUGUGCUGGGGCUGGAAUAGGUCCCCAGGGGACCGAGACAUUUCUUCUUCAUUAAACAUACUGUAGUUUUCACCUAGCAGCUAAAGAGCAGACUUGUAUUUAUGUCUUGCUGACCUAUCUGAUCUAAACCUUCGUUUUCUUUCUCGCCCCUCAUGCUGUUCCGUAACUCUGCCGGUCCCCGUCUACACAGGGGCGAAGGGCUUGGGUUUC
Neofelis nebulosa (Clouded leopard) is the source of this 1904-nucleotide long non-coding RNA. RefSeq lists it as uncharacterized. The transcript has 3 exons. The record is from RefSeq and is a predicted model, not a curated record. Lineage: Eukaryota; Metazoa; Chordata; Mammalia; Carnivora; Felidae.